This is a long non-coding RNA of Oncorhynchus gorbuscha (pink salmon), 580 nucleotides long. RefSeq lists it as uncharacterized. The record is from RefSeq and is a predicted model, not a curated record. The transcript is spliced from 4 exons. Lineage: Eukaryota; Metazoa; Chordata; Actinopteri; Salmoniformes; Salmonidae.
UGGAACACAUGCGCAAAGAGGAAGUAUCUCAACAGGCUUCUCUCUCGCGAGGGAGUAUCUGGUUCUCGAACAACAUUGUCCUUGUGCGCCAAUUAGUUCAUAUUAGUGGGAAUCUAUUUACACGGAGAGGAAUUAUGGAAAGAUACAACUUUGAGGUUUGGACGUCACUCUACAGAUGGACCCUCUAUCCUGACACCUCUGGAGCAGUGCUGCAGGAUCUGUCACUCUACCCUCCUGUGUCUGUCUGCGUCUCCUCUCCCUGCCCCAGUACAGUCUGAUGUCAUGAGGGACUCUUUUUCAUGAUCCUCUAUUCCCGUGGCCCCUCUCCACCCUGGACCAUCGCCUAGCAACCGUGCUCAGAACCUUUGAGCCGUUGCCAGGAUCAACAGUGUAGCCUCCAUGGACGAGCCCUGCCACAAACGGACCAGCUGACAUGAUGUCAGUGAUUCUUUCGUUGACACGGGUGUGAGUGUUGACGAGGACAAGGCUGGAGAUCACUGUCAUGCUGAUUGAGUUUGAAUAACAGACUGGAAGCUUCAGGAGGGUGGUGCUUGGAACCAUUGCCAGUAAGAUUGUACCU